CAAUAGCGUAUAUUAAAGCUGUUGCGGUUAAAAAGCUCGUAGUUGGAUUUCUGUCAAGGACAACUGGUCCGCCCCUCGGGUGAGCACAUAGUUUGGUCUUGGCAUCUUGUUGGAAACUGUUGCUGCACUUGGUUGUGUGGCGCAGUGUCCAGCACUUUCACUUUGAGGAAAUUGGAGUGUUUCAAGCAGGCACAUGCCUUUGGACACAGUAGCAUGGAAUAAUUAGAUUGGGCUUUUGCUCCAACUUGUCGGUUUCUGGAGCUGAGGUGAGAAUUAAUGGGGAUUGUUGGGGGCAUCCGAAUUUAGCCGUCAGAGGUGAAAUUCUUGGAUCUGCUAAAGACGGACAACUGCGAAAGCGUUUGCCCAGGAUGGUUUCAUUGA
This 381-nucleotide ribosomal RNA is filed under the name uncultured eukaryote. Its description in RNAcentral is "partial 18S ribosomal RNA". It matches the Rfam family "Eukaryotic small subunit ribosomal RNA", at positions 592 to 976 of the family's 1831-position model. The record is from RNAcentral.